This 71-nucleotide transfer RNA is filed under the name Marmota monax (woodchuck). It matches the Rfam family "tRNA". Rfam says of the family: Transfer RNA (tRNA) molecules are approximately 80 nucleotides in length. Their secondary structure includes four short double-helical elements and three loops (D, anti-codon, and T loops). Further hydrogen bonds mediate the characteristic L-shaped molecular structure. tRNAs have two regions of fundamental functional importance: the anti-codon, which is responsible for specific mRNA codon recognition, and the 3' end, to which the tRNAs corresponding amino acid is attached (by aminoacyl-tRNA synthetases). tRNAs cope with the degeneracy of the genetic code in two manners: having more than one tRNA (with a specific anti-codon) for a particular amino acid; and 'wobble' base-pairing, i.e. permitting non-standard base-pairing at the 3rd anti-codon position. The record is from Rfam by way of RNAcentral. Lineage: Eukaryota; Metazoa; Chordata; Mammalia; Rodentia; Sciuridae.
GGGGGUAUAGUUUAGUUGGUAGAGUGUUUGCCUUGCAUGCAAGGCCCUAGGUUCAAUCCCCAGCACCUUCU